Molecule: long non-coding RNA, 4271 nt
Organism: Monodelphis domestica (gray short-tailed opossum)
Lineage: Eukaryota; Metazoa; Chordata; Mammalia; Didelphimorphia; Didelphidae
Source: Ensembl
AUGUGGAAAACCAGUUGCAGAUCCAGAUUGAGAAAAAUCCAUCUGAGAAAAAAUGAAGAAAAUACAUCAGCCUCUUUAAUUAGGGGUUAUACUUUCUUUAAAUCAAGAGCUUUAGGAAGUCCCGUAACUCACCCACCUCCUUCCCCUUCCCCUCCUCCUCCUCCUCCUCCACCUCCACCUCCUCCUCCUCCUCCUCCACCUUCCCCUAAAGUACCAGAAGAAAAUAUUCAAUAUUCAAUACCAAAUCCUCUGCUGUGUACUACAGAUGCCCCAAGUGAAACCCUGCAAGUUUCAUAUUUCUCUACCCCAAGUACAUCAAGUGCAGUGGCACAAAGACCAUCUUUAGUAGAACCAUUUUUAUUAGAUAAAUCUGUGCAAGUUUCCUCAUAUUCAGAUCUAAGCACAGGGGGAGAAUUAACAGAAUUUCCUCCUUCCACCAGCACAAGUUCAGCAAGUGAAUCCACAAAAGGUCUCUCAACUUCCAGCUCAGAAGAUCACAUUGCUUCCAGAUUAACUGCACUGACCAAAGCUGUGCAAUUUCCUUCUGUCUCAGAUGUGGCUACAUCAACAGAUGUCUCAGAAAAUCCAUCCAUGGAAGAAGCCAUACCAUUUGCAUUGACCAAAGCUGUGCAAUGCCCUUCUGUUUCAGAUGUGGCUACAUCAACGGAUGUCUCAGAAAAUCUAUCCAUGGAAGAUGCCACACCACUUGCAUUGACCAAAGCUGUGCAAUGUCCUUCUGUCUCAGACAUAGCUACAUCAACAGAUGUCAUAGAAAAUCCACCCAUGGAUGAUGUCGUAACACCUGAAUUGACCAAAGCUGUACGAUGUGUGUGUAUCUCAGACGUGUCUAUAUCAACAGAUAUUAUAGAAGAUCUGAAUCAAUCUGUGAAGUCUUCUCCUAUCUCAGGCCCAAAAGAACCAAUAGAUGUCCCUGCUUUCUCUGAACUAACAUCAAUAAGGGAACCCAUACAAGCUCUAAUGUCUCCUAGUAGACCCACACAAAUCCUUCCUAUCUUAGAUCCCAUGCCCACUAAUGAAUUUGUAACAGGUGAACUUCUGCCUAACUUGGUCCCAAGUCCGUCAAGAGAAUUUAUACAAGAUCUCACCAUCUCCAGAACAAUUUCAGGAAGCAAAUCUGUGCAAGUUCCUUCAUCUGCUGGCAUAAUUUCUUCAUGUAAAUCUAUAAAAUUUUCUUCUUCCUCCAUUGGAUUUUCAAUGACAAAAGCCAAACAAGUUCCUUUAUAUUGUUGUGCUUCAACAUCAAGUGAAUCCAUAGAAGUUCCAUCUUUCUCAGUAAUGCUUUCAUCAAAUCAAGCCACACAAGUUCCUUCUUUCUCUGAUCUAGGCCCACCACAAGAAAACAUACACAGGCCCUUACCCCACAAAUUUAGUGGUCUGCACAAAUCAACCCAAGUUCCUGCUUUUUCUGAUGAAAGUUCAUCUAUUGUAGGCAUGGAAAUAGCUGGAUCUUUCUCUGGUCCACUUUCAUCAAGAGAAUGCAUACAACACUCCUCAGAUAUUGUGGCUGUUUCAGGCAGCAGGCUUCUGUCUCCUCCACAUUCUGAUCCAGCUAUACCAGACAUAAGCACAGAAGAAUUACCAUAUUCCCAAGAACCACAUUCAUCAAAAGAAUUGAUAAAUGCUUCUUUCUCUGAAACUAAUUCACCAAGAGAAGGUACACAAGUUCCCUCUACUUGUGAUGCUUUUGACAUUACCAACAGUGAACAACUUUCUUUGAUUUCUGAUUUAAAUGCAACAGUAGUAGGAAGAGAAAAAAUCAUGUCUUUUUCAGGUUCACUGUUAUCGAGGAAACCAUUAGAAUACUCCUCAAAUUUUGUUGCUAUUUCAGUUACCAAGCAAACAAAACUUCCUUCUUCCUCUGAUCCAAGAUCAUUGAAUGUGAACACAGAAGAAUUUUCAUCUAUCUUGUUUCCGUUUUGUCCAGUAGUAUCCAGGCAGUUUUCUGAUUUCUCUGAGACAAGUUUAGCAAGAGAAAAUAUACAAAUUCCGUCUAUCCUUGGAUCUGUUUCCGUGAAUGAAGCCGAACAGUUUUCUCACUCCUCUGGUAGAAGUUCACGAAGAGUUACUUUAGAAGCUCCUACUCAUGUUGCUGUCACAGAGAGAAAAUCUGUACAAGUACCUAAUGAAGCCAUACAGUUUUCUCACUCCUCUGGUAGAAGUUCACGAAGAGUUACUUUAGAAGCUCCUACUCAUGUCACUGUCACAGAGAACAAAUCUGUACAAGUAUCUAAUGAAGCUUUGCAGUUUUUUCACUCUCAUAAAGGUACACAAAGAGACACUUUAGAAGCUCCCUCUACUCAUGUCACUGUCACAGAGAACAAAUCUGUACAAGUAUCUAAUGAAGCCACACGGUUUUCUCACUCCUCUCGUAAAAGUUCACGAAGAGACACUUCAGAAGCUCCCUCUACUCAUGUUGCUGUCACAGUGAGAAAAUCUGUGCAAGUACCUAAUGAAGCCACACAGUUUUCUCACUCUGGUACAAGUUCACGAAGAGACACCUUAGAAGCUCCCUCUACUCAUAUUGCUGUCAUAGUAAGAAAAUCUCUACUACCUAAUGAAGCUGCGCAGUUUUCUCACUCUGGUACAACUUCACGAAGAGACACUUCAGAAGUUCCCUCUACUUGUGUCUCUGUCACAGAGGACAAAUCUGUACAAGUAUCUAAUGAAGCCACACAGUUUGAUCCCUCUACUCAUGUCACUGUCACAGAGAACAAAUCUGUACAAGUAUCUAAUGAAGCCACACAGUUUGAUCCCUCUACUCAUGUCACUGUCACAGAGGACAAAUCUGUACAAGUAUCUAAUGAAGCUUUGCAGUUUUUUCACUCUCAUAAAGGUUCACAAAGAGUCACUUUAGAAGAUCCCUCUACUCAUGUCACUGUCACAGAGAACAAAUCUGUGCAAGUACCUAAUGAAACCUCACAAUCUUGUCACUCCUCUCACAAAAGUUCACAAAGAGACACUUUAGAAGCUCCCUCUAUUCAUGUUGCUGUCACAGAGAACAAAUCUGCACAACCACCUAACCUCUCAGCUGCAGGCUUGUCAACAAUGCAGAUAAAAGAAGUCCUAUCUUUCUCAUCACUACUUUCCCAAGAGGAAUCCAUUCAAAAUCCCACAAACCUUGCUGUUAUUUCAGUCAAAAAGCUUACACAACUUCCUUUUUCUGAUCUAAAUCCAUUGAAUGUGAGUACAGAAGAACUUCCACCUGUCUUGAAUCCAUUUUGUCCAAUAGUAUCCAGGCAGUUUUCUGAUUUCUCUGAGACAAAUUUAACAAGAGAAACAAAAACUUCACAAAUUCCCCCCACUCGCCUCACUCUAAUGGUGAAUAAGUCAACACAACUUACUUCUUCCUUUAAUGUGUCUUCAUCAACUAUAUCCAGAGAAGAAAUUCAAUCUUUCCCAGGCCCUCUGAAAUCAAGGGAAAUCACCCAACAUCCCUCAAACACUGAAGUUAUGUUAGUCGAUGAAUUCACACAAUUUCCUUCUCUCUCUAACUUAAAUUCAUUGAACGAGAACACAAAUUUAUUGAGUGAGAAUACAGAACAACUUCCAUGUGUCUCACUUUCAACAAUAUCCAGGCAGUUUUCUGAUUUCUCUGAGACAAAUUUAGCAAGAGAAAACAUACAAUUUCCCUCUAUCCUUGAACACAUUCCUGUGAGAGAACGCACACCAUUUUCCGACUCCUUUGAUAAACAUUUACCAACAAAAACUUUACAAGUUUCCUCUACCCAUCUUGUGGACAAAUCAACACAACUUACCUCCAUGUCUGAUACAGAUUUAACAAAUGUAUCCCUUGAAGAAGUUUCAUCUUUUCCAGGUCCACAUUUACCUCAAGAAUCUGUACAGCUUCCCUCAAAUUUUGCUGCUGUUUCAGUCAACAAGGCCACCCAAUUCCCUUCCUCCUCUGACAUCAGUUCAUGAAGCACAGGCACCCAUCUUUCCAAGUUCCAGUUUCACCAAAAGAAUCCAGUGCUCCUGCUUUCUCUGGAGGGAAUUCAUCAAAUGAAGAUGUACAAGUUUCCUCUACCUGCUCUGCUUCUCUAGUUCCCAAGUCUGCACAAGUUCCUUCCUUCUCUGAUCCAAGUUCAUUAGCACAAUACAUAGAAGUUAGGUUUUUCUUAGGUCCAACUUAGUCGACAGAAUUCAAACAUCUCUCAAUUUCAUUACUUCAGACAGCAAAUCUGCCCAAUUUCCAUCUUUCUCUGACAAGUUUGUCAAUCCUAUAAAGACAAUAAAGUUACUAAGUCCAAACA